RNAcentral lists this ribosomal RNA (253 nucleotides) under uncultured bacterium. RNAcentral's name for it is "partial 16S ribosomal RNA". It matches the Rfam family "Bacterial small subunit ribosomal RNA", at positions 524 to 776 of the family's 1533-position model. The record is from RNAcentral.
UACGGAGGGUGCGAGCGUUAUCCGGAUUCACUGGGUUUAAAGGGUGCGUAGGUGGGCAGGUAAGUCAGUGGUGAAAUCUCCGGGCUUAACCCGGAAACUGCCAUUGAUACUAUCUUUCUUGAAUACCGUGGAGGUCAGCGGAAUAUGUCAUGUAGCGGUGAAAUGCUUAGAUAUGACAUAGAACACCAAUUGCGAAGGCAGCUGGCUACACGAAUAUUGACACUGAUGCACGAAAGCGUGGGGAUCAAACAGG